This 550-nucleotide ribosomal RNA is filed under the name uncultured eukaryote. RNAcentral's name for it is "eukaryotic LSU rRNA". The stretch from base 152 to 303 matches the Rfam family "5.8S ribosomal RNA". The record is from RNAcentral.
UAAAAGUCGUAACAAGGUUUCCGUAGGUGAACCUGCGGAAGGAUCAUUAACACUUAUCCAAACCUACUCAACCAAGCCAUACUGUUGCAGAGCGCAAGCUUUGCAGCUUAAAUCUAACCUAAAGAAGCUUAACUAAGCCAACCUAAAACUAAAUCCUCAACGAUGGAUGUCUAGGUUCCUACUACGAUGAAGAACGCAGCGAAGUGCGAUAAGCAAUGCGAAUUGCAGAACCGGGAGUCAUCAGAUUUUUGAACGCAACUGGCUCCUGGGGGUCCUCCCCCAGGAAUGCUUCUUUCAGUGUGUUCUUAUCUCCUCACCCAAACCUUAAUGCGAUAGAUGCCCUUCUAUUGCUAAGCUCGAAAGCACUCUGAGCUCUGCAGCGACUGUCCUCGGACGGUUGCACUCAAUGCAGCAGUCACAUUUUCUAAUGUGAACUCAUUGGGAGUAGAGUCAGCGCAUGUCUCAUGCCAGUGCUUAGACACUCAAAUUUUCACAGCAUCUGAGAUGAAGUAGGACCACCCGCUGAACUUAAGCAUAUCAAUAAGCGGAG